Long non-coding RNA from Triticum aestivum (bread wheat), 1689 nucleotides. RefSeq lists it as uncharacterized. The transcript has 3 exons. Lineage: Eukaryota; Viridiplantae; Streptophyta; Magnoliopsida; Poales; Poaceae. The record is from RefSeq and is a predicted model, not a curated record.
CUCUCUCUUCGGCUUGUUUCUUCUUUGUUGACUAGGUUCCUCCUCCUGCGGCAAGGUCCUGCUCCUACACUUACUCCUCCUUCGCAAGGUGCUCCGGCCGUCCUGCGGCAAGGUCUUGCUCCUACACUUACUCCUCCUUCGCAAGGUGCUCCGACCAUCCGGCGGCAAGGUGCCCCUGGUGGUCCCCUCCUCGUCUUUCAGUUAACUCGAAUGUCUUGAUACUGCUGUAGACCAGUUAACCUCGUCCAACUUAAAUUAUCGUGCACAUAUCCUUUUUCCUAUAGGUUCAGGUUAUCUGAUUGCAUUAUUGAGUUCAGAUUAUUCAGUUCUAAUAUCAGAUUAGGUGAAUUAUAUUACAACUUCUCUGAAAUUCAGUUCAGAUUAUCCAACCUUUAAUGUAUAGGUGUAGUUUCUAGCAUUUCACGGUAUGAAUUACAAGGUUGUUGAUUCAGUGGAAGUUUGGUCCAUGAUAUUCCAUGAAGGCUGAAAAAUUGGAUGCUUUCUUGUAUACUGCUAAAUAAAUUUAGUAUGAUUGUUAUGCAUAGGGAGAAGAAAAUUUGCCCCAGCGACAGCCUCCGUUCAGAUGGCCUUUUUGGCUGGAGUAUGUAGUCCCUUUGGGCAGGGAAGUCAUGGGCUUUUUUUUUACAUCAGGGCCUAGAAGCUAAUUGAUGUAGGAAGACGAGAGCCAACCAUGCGAGGCAGAAAUCAAUUUAUCGCCGCUAGGCGCGCAGCCAUGACUCGUUUUUUCCGGUCAUUUUCUCAUGUGUUUAUCUAUUCAGGCCACGCACCAAGGACGGGAAAACACACCAACCCAGACCACUCGACCGAUCGAUCAGUCACUAUAGUAAUUACUCACUACUAAUUUGAGGCAUGUCUACAUCAGAGGGUUCGGAGAGUGCUGAUUCCAUGGAUGAGAAUACGAGUCAAGUACCACAUGCUAGAAGGUCCAAGGUAUGGGAGCAUUAUGAAGUAGAUCUGGUUCUCGUAGAUGGUGAUCUCAAGGUGUGUGCAAAUACUAUGGAGCGCAACUUCACACCAAGUUUGGGACUAGCAGUUUGAGGACCCAUAUUGCAGAGGCUUGCCGAUCAAUUCAGGAGGCUUGCAGGAAGAGGUUUUUAUUGACCAUGAAAAGAAAACCAUCCAAAGUUUGAAGAUCCCCACCUUCAGCCAUGGAUUGACUGAAUGCAACCAACAUUUCAAAUCAAGGGUAGCCACACAAUUCAUGAUGAUGCAGUGAAGAUGUAUAAGGGAAUGAAGAAAGAUAUCGAAGUAGAGCUACAAAACUUGGUCCUCGCAUUUGCUUAACAUUUGACAUGUGGACAUCAUCACAGGACUUGGGCUACAUGUCAAUCACCGCCCAUUAUAUCAAUGCAGAAUUCAACUACAAGAAGAAGACCAUAAGUUUCGCAGAAGUGAAGUAUCCCCACACAGGCUAUGUGAUAGAAGAAGAAAUAGUUCGUUGCUUAACAGAAUGGGGCAUAAGGGGCAAAUUAUUCACUUUGACACUAGAUAAUGCCAGCAUAAUACUAAUGCAUGUGAGGAGUUAAUAAAAUAUCACAAACAUGAGCUGCUCCUUGAAGGUCAACAUUUGCAUGUCAGGUGUUGUGCGCACAUUUUUAAUAUCUUGGUUUAGGAUGGAAUGAAAAUAAUCCAUGCAGCUAUUGACAUCAUACCUGAGCUGCUGAAGUA